UGGAAACACCUUCUGGCAUCUCUGGCCAUUUCGUUUCUUUAUAAAACACUAAGCCCACUGGUCUUUUGAUCGGAGAAAAGAUGGAAAUGAUGUCUACCGUCCAUACGACGUCGUAUCCUCUUCUCCUCCCAGCACGUACGGGUCGGAGGUUUCCUAGCGUAGUAGUUCGAGCAGUGCUGUCCAGACCGUCGGAGAAUUUCGGCAGUAAGGGGAAGAAGAUGAGCAAGAGCUCAGUACACGUUGCGACCACCACUGCUGACGAUUUCUUGUCAACGGGGGUAUCAUCGUCGCCCCCUCAGCAGCAGCAGCCGACGAAGAAAACGGAGUAUCAUG
This 333-nucleotide long non-coding RNA is filed under the name Linum usitatissimum (flax). RNAcentral's name for it is "long non-coding RNA (LUSI_LNC002136)". Lineage: Eukaryota; Viridiplantae; Streptophyta; Magnoliopsida; Malpighiales; Linaceae. The record is from RNAcentral.